CCGCCUGGGGAGUACGGCCGCAAGGUUAAAACUCAAAUGAAUUGACGGGGGCCCGCACAAGCGGUGGAGCAUGUGGUUUAAUUCGAUGCAACGCGAAGAACCUUACCUACUCUUGACAUCCACGGAACUUGCCAGAGAUGGCUUGGUGCCUUCGGGAACCGUGAGACAGGUGCUGCAUGGCUGUCGUCAGCUCGUGUUGUGAAAUGUUGGGUUAAGUCCCGCAACGAGCGCAACCCUUAUCCUUUGUUGCCAGCGAUUCGGUCGGGAACUCAAAGGAGACUGCCAGUGAUAAACUGGAGGAAGGUGGGGAUGACGUCAAGUCAUCAUGGCCCUUACGAGUAGGGCUACACACGUGCUACAAUGGCAUAUACAAAGAGAAGCGACCUCGCGAGAGCAAGCGGACCUCAUAAAGUAUGUCGUAGUCCGGAUUGGAGUCUGCAACUCGACUCCAUGAAGUCGGAAUCGCUAGUAAUCGUGGAUCAGAAUGCCACGGUGAAUACGUUCCCGGGCCUUGUACACACCGCCCGUCACACCAUGGGAGUGGGUUGCAAAAGAAGUAGGUAGCUUAACCUUCGGGAGGGCGCUUACCACUUUGUGAUUCAUGACUGGGGUGAAGUCGUAACAAGGUAACCGUAGGGGAACCUGCGGUUGGAUCACCUCCUUACCUUAAAGAA
This 674-nucleotide ribosomal RNA is filed under the name Citrobacter freundii. Its description in RNAcentral is "bacterial SSU rRNA". It matches the Rfam family "Bacterial small subunit ribosomal RNA", at positions 869 to 1533 of the family's 1533-position model. Lineage: Bacteria; Pseudomonadati; Pseudomonadota; Gammaproteobacteria; Enterobacterales; Enterobacteriaceae. The record is from RNAcentral.